CCAGCAAGAGGAAUCAUAGAAUCAUAGAAGGAAAGGAGACUCACAGAUACACUACUGCAUAAAUGCCAGACUGCUGUAAAAUUCUUUGAGCCACUGCUGUGUUGUACAGUGUUUUAACUGUUGAGUCAGCAUACUUUCGGCAUGGUAACUGACUGAUCAUCCACUUUAAGUUUGUCUGUGGUAACCUGGCACAGAUGGCAAGUUGACUGAUGCCAAAAAUGUAUGUCAGGAUUUAGAGCGGGUAAGAGAGAUAUGGGCAUAUAUUCUGAGAAAUGCUUCAUUUGCUUUUAGUCUGAAAAAUGGGGCACUUUUGAAUAAGAAUGUCUAGAAUUAUC
Molecule: long non-coding RNA, 335 nt
Filed under: Gallus gallus (chicken)
Lineage: Eukaryota; Metazoa; Chordata; Aves; Galliformes; Phasianidae
Description: long non-coding RNA NONGGAT008165
Source: RNAcentral